Molecule: ribosomal RNA, 465 nt
Filed under: uncultured Thermomonas sp.
Lineage: Bacteria; Pseudomonadati; Pseudomonadota; Gammaproteobacteria; Lysobacterales; Lysobacteraceae
Description: bacterial SSU rRNA
Rfam family: Bacterial small subunit ribosomal RNA
Source: RNAcentral
CCUACGGGAGGCAGCAGUAGGGAAUAUUGGACAAUGGGCGCAAGCCUGAUCCAGCCAUGCCGCGUGAGUGAAGAAGGCCCUCGGGUUGUAAAGCUCUUUUGUCCGGAAAGAAAAGCGUUGGGUUAAUACCCCGGCGUCCUGACGGUACCGGAAGAAUAAGCACCGGCUAACUUCGUGCCAGCAGCCGCGGUAAUACGAAGGGUGCAAGCGUUACUCGGAAUUACUGGGCGUAAAGCGUGCGUAGGUGGUUCGUUAAGUCUGAUGUGAAAGCCCUGGGCUCAACCUGGGAAUGGCAUUGGAUACUGGCGGGCUAGAGUGCGGUAGAGGGCAGUGGAAUUCCCGGUGUAGCAGUGAAAUGCGUAGAGAUCGGGAGGAACAUCUGUGGCGAAGGCGACUGCCUGGACCAGCACUGACACUGAGGCACGAAAGCGUGGGGAGCAAACAGGAUUAGAUACCCCAGUAGUC